AUUGAACGCUGGCGGCAUGCCUUACACAUGCAAGUCGAACGGCAGCACGGGAGCAAUCCUGGUGGCGAGUGGCGAACGGGUGAGUAAUAUAUCGGAACGUGCCCAGUCGUGGGGAUAACGUAGCGAAAGCUACGCUAAUACCGCAUACGAUCUAUGGAUGAAAGCGGGGGAUCGCAAGACCUCGCACGAUUGGAGCGGCCGAUAUCAGAUUAGGUAGUUGGUGAGGUAAAGGCUCACCAAGCCGACGAUCUGUAGCUGGUCUGAGAGGACGACCAGCCACACUGGGACUGAGACACGGCCCAGACUCCUACGGGAGGCAGCAGUGGGGAAUAUUGGACAAUGGGCGAAAGCCUGAUCCAGCAAUGCCGCGUGUGUGAAGAAGGUCUUCGGAGUUGUAAA
RNAcentral lists this ribosomal RNA (399 nucleotides) under uncultured bacterium. Its description in RNAcentral is "bacterial SSU rRNA". It matches the Rfam family "Bacterial small subunit ribosomal RNA", at positions 30 to 429 of the family's 1533-position model. The record is from RNAcentral.